Long non-coding RNA from Lingula anatina, 1057 nucleotides. NCBI's taxonomy places the organism in Eukaryota, Metazoa, Brachiopoda, Lingulata, Lingulida, Lingulidae. The record is from RefSeq and is a predicted model, not a curated record.
UCUAUAUGACAUGGUGGCUUCUGGGCAGCAGCUGGUUACAUGGGCAUGGCUUUUAAUAAUAAGGAACAGACAGUUAAAGACCAGCGAGAACAUCCUUAGCCUUCAUCUCAUCCAGAUAUACAACACAUGGGAUGUGGCAAGUUUUAGGACAAGUUGGAUUUACACAGCCAGAGAUGGGAAGGUGAUAAAAUGAACUUUGGCCCACUUCAAGUAGGUUCAUGUCCAGCAUGGCUUGUUUGUCUUCUAAGCAGAAGAGGAAGUUACAUAUGGAGAAUUCUUAAGAUAUUCAAGAGAGGCUACAGUUGGCAGAAGAAAGGGAUUAGAGUUGUCAAGUGUUUCGAAUUUCAUCACUGGACUGACGGACAUUCAGUUUCUAGGAUUUCAGCAUGUACCAAAUGUCGCAUUCUCUUUUGCUGUGGACUCUUUUUUCCAUGCCUACAGAAACUGCUGGUAUUGUGUGCACGUGCAUUGAACUUACGGUUGCCCUUGCAAGAAACAUCACAAGAACAACUAUUUGAGUUGUGGGCCUUAGCUUUUCUGUCAGCAAACAUAUUUAUAUAUUAUAGAAAUGUCCCACACUGAGUGUGUUGUUAGUGUAGUUUAUCUGUUAGAAUUGGAUUGAGAUUAUUAGCAUGUUUUUAUUCACUGAAAUGAACCUUCAAUAGUUGUGUGUGUGUGUGUAUGUGAGAGAGAGAGAGAGAGUGGUAAAUUAAGAACUUUCAAAUGGAAACGGUGAAGGUUUUGAAAGCCAGCUUGGCAUAUAAUUAUACACACUGUGCAUGAUGUCAGUCUGUAAACACUGACAAGUUGAGAAGGUUUUGUUAGAUAUUUCUUAAAAUAAGCCUGAUUAUAUACCCGGGUACAUAAACAGUAUCUUUUAAGAGUAUAUACUGCAGUACAUUGACAGCAGACAAUCUAAGGGUGUUUUAAGUGUGUGCCAUAUUUGAUCUGCAGCUAAGUUCUGAAAACCAAGAAAAUGGAACCAAGGUUCUUCUCCAUUAUUCCAUGCACCAUUAUUCAGGCAAAAUGCCUGCUUUGAAUUCAAAGAUCCAAGUUU